UACGGGGGGGGCAAGCGUUGUUCGGAAUUACUGGGCGUAAAGGGCUCGUAGGUGGCCAACUAAGUCAGACGUGAAAUCCCCCGGCUUAACCGGGGAACUGCGUCUGAUACUGGAUGGCUUGAGUUCGGGAGAGGGAUGCGGAAUUCCAGGUGUAGCGGUGAAAUGCGCAGAUAUCAGGAGGAACACCGAUGGCGAAGGCAGGUCUCUGGGCCAUAACUGACGCUGAGAAGCGAAAGCAUGGGGAGCGAACAGG
This 253-nucleotide ribosomal RNA is filed under the name uncultured bacterium. RNAcentral describes it as "partial 16S ribosomal RNA". It matches the Rfam family "Bacterial small subunit ribosomal RNA", at positions 524 to 776 of the family's 1533-position model. The record is from RNAcentral.